GAUGAAGAACGUAGCGAAAUGCGAUACGUAAUGUGAAUUGCAGAAUUCAGUGAAUCAUCGAAUCUUUGAACGCAUAUUGCGCUCUCUGGUAUUCCGGAGAGCAUGCUUGUUUGAGUAUCAGUAAACACCUCAACUUCCAUAUCUUUUUUGAAAUGGGAGUUGGACUUGAGUGAUCCCUACGCUUUUCCUCACCGAAAAGUGGCGGGUUACUUGAAAUGCACGUGCAGCUGGACUUUUCUCUGAGCUAUAAGCAUAUCUAUUUAGUCUGCCUAAAAAACAGAUUAUUACCUUUGCUGCAGCUAACAUAAAGGAGAUUAGUUCUUGUGCUGACUGAUGCAGGAUUCACAAAGACGGCUUCGGCCGACUUUGUAAACUCGAUCUCAAAUCAAGUAAGACUACCCGCUGAACUUAAGCAUAUCAAUAAGCGGAGGA
RNAcentral lists this unclassified non-coding RNA (432 nucleotides) under soil metagenome. RNAcentral's name for it is "partial contains 5.8S ribosomal RNA, internal transcribed spacer 2, and large subunit ribosomal RNA". The stretch from base 1 to 120 matches the Rfam family "5.8S ribosomal RNA", at positions 35 to 154 of the family's 154-position model. The record is from RNAcentral.